AAACCAACCGGGAUUGCCUUAGUAACGUCGAGUGAAGCGGCAAAAGCUCAAAUUUGAAAUCUGGUUACCUUCGGUGCCCGAGUUGUAAUUUGGAGAGGGCAACUUUGGGGCCGUUCCUUGUCUAUGUUCCUUGGAACAGGACGUCAUAGAGGGUGAGAAUCCCGUGUGGCGAGGAGUGCGGUUCUUUGUAAAGUGCCUUCGAAGAGUCGAGUUGUUUGGGCAAUGCAGCUCUAAGUGGGUGGUAAAUUCCAUCUAAAGCUAAAUAUUGGCGAGAGACCGAUAGCGAACAAGUACAGUGAUGGAAAGAUGAAAAGAACUUUGAAAAGAGAGUGAAAAAGUACGUGAAAUUGUUGAAAGGGAAGGGCAUUUGAUCAGACAUGGUGUUUUGUGCCCUCUGCUCCUUGUGGGUGGGGGAAUCUCGCAUUUCACUGGGCCAGCAUCAGUUUUGGUGGCAGCGAUAAAUCCAUAGGAAUGUAGCUUGCCUCGGUAAGUAUUAUAGCCUGUGGGAAUACUGCCAGCUGGGACUGAGGACUGCGACGUAAGUCAAGGAUGCUGGCAUAAUGGUUAUAUUGCCGCCCGUCUUUGAAACACGGAC
RNAcentral lists this ribosomal RNA (595 nucleotides) under Saccharomyces sp. ST-422. RNAcentral describes it as "eukaryotic LSU rRNA". It matches the Rfam family "Eukaryotic large subunit ribosomal RNA", at positions 62 to 666 of the family's 3401-position model. The record is from RNAcentral. Lineage: Eukaryota; Fungi; Ascomycota; Saccharomycetes; Saccharomycetales; Saccharomycetaceae.